This 233-nucleotide signal recognition particle RNA is filed under the name Pectinatus haikarae. RNAcentral's name for it is "signal recognition particle sRNA large type". The stretch from base 78 to 229 matches the Rfam family "Bacterial large signal recognition particle RNA", at positions 67 to 245 of the family's 256-position model. From Rfam's summary of the family: The signal recognition particle (SRP) is a universally conserved ribonucleoprotein involved in the co-translational targeting of proteins to membranes. The record is from RNAcentral. Lineage: Bacteria; Bacillati; Bacillota; Negativicutes; Selenomonadales; Selenomonadaceae.
AGAAAAUUAUUAUUUUGUAAGCUUUGAAAAUAUAUAUUCUUGCAACAAGACAUAAGUUAUGAUAAAAUAGACAAACGAAAGCAGUUUUUCAAAUGAGACUGCGGCGCUUGGGUCUUACGCAAUGGAGACUCAUGAACCCCGUCAGAUCCGGAAGGAAGCAGCGGUAAGUGAUUACCUUCAUGUGCCGUGAGGGUGCCUGAGCGCCGUAGUCUGAUUUGAGGAGCUGUUUUUCC